UACCCGAAUCCUACUAGAUAAAAAUAAUAAAUUUUAAUAUAUUUCUAAACCUAAUCAGAUUAAAAAUAUUUAAAUAAUCAGGCUCAAAAUAAAAAAAAAUAAAAAAAUUUGAAAAUAAUCUAAAAAUACAAAAACAGAGGAUGAAACAAUUAAAUUUGAGUCCCAAACUAGGUCGGAAUGGCUUUAUGGUUUGAUGGGUAGGUCGCAAAGAGUGUUUUCAGACUAGGGUUGCAUGCUGAAAUUCGAUGCUCAAGUAAAAAGUUAUGACCAUUUAAAGAAUUCUCAUGCUGAUUUUAAAAAUUACUGAAUUCAAUGAAAUUUUCAGUUCAGCUUAAUUGAAUUACAUUUUUUUAGAAACUCUAACGCUAAAUUGACCGCAUCACUUGUGUUGGCAAAUUCGUGACAAAUUCGUUCGUUCAACACACAAGCUCUCGUAACACACGAGU
This 446-nucleotide long non-coding RNA is filed under the name Ananas comosus (pineapple). RNAcentral's name for it is "long non-coding RNA (ACOM_LNC020255)". The record is from RNAcentral. Lineage: Eukaryota; Viridiplantae; Streptophyta; Magnoliopsida; Poales; Bromeliaceae.